Aethalodelphis obliquidens (Pacific white-sided dolphin) is the source of this 393-nucleotide long non-coding RNA. RefSeq lists it as uncharacterized. The transcript has 3 exons. NCBI's taxonomy places the organism in Eukaryota, Metazoa, Chordata, Mammalia, Artiodactyla, Delphinidae. The record is from RefSeq and is a predicted model, not a curated record.
GAUAUUCUCAUCAGAGGAGUCAGAAUUGAAGGCCAAAGGCAUUAAAGAUAUGGGAUACCAUCUCUUCCUGAGCCCUUGACAUAGCUGCACAUUCUGUCAUCAUCUCCUCACUGCCCAGAUGCCUUUCCUCCUUGCAGAGUGCUGAGAACAGACACGCAGACCAGCAGACAGGAGACAGAGAGGGGCUGCACGGUCAGUGGACUGAAGUCCCUUUCCUGAAUUUGGGCCCUCCUCAUCCAACGUUUCCUCCCCCACCUCCCCUGCAUCCAAGCCGCCAUUACUUUUCAGGCCUCAGGCACCAGACCAGGAUGCUUUCCAAACUAUUUUGGAUCUCUGGGUCUUCCUCCCGUGCAAGCAACCUGCCCCACCCCCAACCCUUUACGCUGAGGUCAA